RNAcentral lists this unclassified non-coding RNA (1398 nucleotides) under Hevea brasiliensis (rubber tree). Lineage: Eukaryota; Viridiplantae; Streptophyta; Magnoliopsida; Malpighiales; Euphorbiaceae. The record is from RNAcentral.
GUUGGCAACCAAUAGCCAUCAGGAUAUUGACGACUAUUACAAUGUAUACUAACCGUAGAUGGAAUGUAAUAAACAGUGAGUAACAAAAAUGACGUGAAAUAAAGGGCGCUGUACACACAGCAUGUUACAGCUCUGCAAGAGAAUGAAGAAUACAAGAGCAGAGUGAAAAUUUUAUGUAAAUUUAAUUUUACAUGUUUUUACCAAUUCUGAGAAUUGUUAUAACCCUAUCUAUACUGAAUAAUAAUUUCAAUCUAAUACCAGUAAUGCUUAAUAAUCGCUAGUACUUAAAUGUGAUUCUAACUGGGCAAGACAAGAGGAGGAGGAGGAGGAGGAGGUGAAUUGUGUUGAGGUUGCUACUUCUGUUGGCGUGUCUGCACUGGUGCCACUUUAUCAAAAUAGUAACAUUGUUACAAGCUCACAUUUAGAAGGUGAUGAUGAGGAGGAGGUGAAUUGUGCUGAGGUUGCUGCUUCUGCUGGCAUGACUGCACCAAUGCCAGUUUAUCAAAAUGGUAACAUUGCGACCAGCUCACAUUUGUCAGAAAGCACAUGCGUAGAAUCUACUGUAUUACCUCCAUCUGAGUUACCAUCUGAAUCAAAUGCUGCUGCUGUAGUUGGUGAUAGUUAUUUUGCAUCAGCUGAGCCUUCCCAAGUUGGAAGUGAGAAUGAUGGUAUUUUUGCAAUGUUGGCUAACAUCUUAGAGGAAAGCCCAUCCAUUCAAAGUCAAAAUGACAUGAAUGAAGUUCAUGAUAUCAAUCAUGGUGGAAACAAUGCAGUUAAUCCCAAUUCAAAUGGAAUCGAUAUUUAUGAUGGUUUAGGAGAUCUGGGCAACCUGACUAGAAUUGAUGAAGGUGCAUAUAGUACACUUGAUUAUACAGGUCCAGCCAUGGACCAAAUGCUUGGGAGCGAUGAUAUGCAAUAUUUGGAGCUGAUGGAUCUUGAUGCGCCUUUGGAUCGCUCCACUGAACCUGGUGGAUAUGAACAAGUCCAAACUGGUGGCUUGCAUGUUGAUGAGAAUCAAUUCUUUAAUGCAGAAGACUUGCAUUGCGUUGUUAAUUCUUGCAACUCUGCAGAGCUUUUCCAUGGAACAGUCGGACAUCCCCAGAGAUGAGAAAUCAAAUUUCUGAGAAAUGCUGGUUAUUGAUUUAUUACAGAAAUUCUUGUGUGAUCUAACCAAUGGUUGAUUGACACACAACAAAUACUUUCAUUUUCACAACAAUAUUUUUAGGACCAGCACUACCAUAUUUUUAAAGCCUUAUCUGCUAUAUGCUCCUUUCUUGGAAAUUUUUAGGACUUGCUUAUAAUUUUCUAUGUUUGUUGAGAAUAUUAAUUUUCAUUUUCCGUGGAGAACUUUUAAAACUUGUUUAUUUAGUAAGUUAUUUUGAAAAAUAUUCAUUUUCC